This is a long non-coding RNA of Hypanus sabinus (Atlantic stingray), 2693 nucleotides long. RefSeq lists it as uncharacterized. The record is from RefSeq and is a predicted model, not a curated record. Lineage: Eukaryota; Metazoa; Chordata; Chondrichthyes; Myliobatiformes; Dasyatidae. The transcript has 5 exons.
GGCAACACUUGCAGCCUGCCUCCAGUCCAGUCUGAACACAAACAAUGCAUUUCACUGUAUUUCCAUUAAAGUGUGACGUUCACACCAUCAGGCUGGAGGUUAUCCAAACAGAUUGGGGUGUCGCUGCUGCGUCAUAGGAGGAGACCCUGGCCUGAUACAUUGGAAUGGGAAGUCAAAUUGAACAAACUCAAUGAGUGAGCCUCCACAACUCCAAACUCAAGAAUUCCAAAAGUUCACCACACAGUAGUUUUUUUUUUCCUAACUUUCUAAAUCCCCACAGUAGGAUCACCAGUGCAAGUGAAAUUUUUAUAGUUGGAUUUCUCCAUUAUUGCAGUUAUACAUUAUAAAGAUCAAUGUUGCCCUGAUAAAAUCUGUAGCCUAUCUAAUACAAAUCCCUCCACAAUCCAGAACUUUUGUAUGAACAGCGGGAUAUCAUAUCCUGUGAUGCAUGUGACAGCAUUGCGCAACAUCUCAGACAGGCUCAGAAGAGUGGUUCAGAAGUGAAGACACUGCUGGAGAAAGGUUGCAACUCCUUGUCUGGAACCCAACGUUCUCUGUGUGAAAACUUCGUUCAAUCUUACAAAAAAGAGCUUAGCAAAUUGCUUCAAAAGUCCCAGGAGGAAAAGGACAUUUGUCGGGAACUGGACCUCUGUGUAAGGAAACAGACUGAACGACUGCUUGGAGAGAAUGAAUGUACUUGGGGACCAGCACAGUGGUGUAAGGACCGAAAAACAGCUGACAAGUGUCAUAAACCAGAGGUGAUGUGCUCCACUCUGGGACUGUGCAAGUCUCUGUCACAGUUUCCCCAGCAGGAAGUGCGCUCCAACACCAUCCCUGAGCAGCAACCAAGCCUGGCCCACCUGCUUCCGUCUCGUCUGUAUCCUGCAAGCCGGAUACCUCAGCAGGGCAGCGCGACGCAACUUGCAGCGGCCACUCCGGAACUGAUUAUCUGUUAUUUGUGAAGUGGGGUGCCGUGCGCAAUCAUAAUCGAUUGUAAACCGACGUGGGAGCACGGAGGAACAUCGGGAAAUCUCCAGGAAGACCUUCUUCGUUGCUGCUGCUGUUGUGAGGUCCGGGACUCUGCUGGGAAGUACAGGCCCCCAGUCCUCGGGGUCGCGUUGCCGAUGGCCAUUGGCGGGGCCCUCUUAACACGCUCGGCAGAGGAUGGUGCUUGGAAAAACUGUACCGGAGGGGAUGGUCGGAGGCUCGGAGAUUCAACGGACUCGGAGUCCGCUGCGGACAGGUCGUUUUCGGUGUGUGCUGUGUCUGCGAGGCUGAGUCGGGCGGCGCCGUGGAAGUCCAUAGUGGGGGUAUUCCCUUUUGCCGCCGGCAUGGAAUGGCAAGUCUGUCAGGAUCCUGGGGACUUGUGGAAACUGUGUGGUGAUUUCUUUUGAACUUAUAGUCCUUUAACGUCUUUGGACUAUUUUUACCGUGUCCAUGGUCUGUUUUUUUUUUAUCAAUUAUGCAAUUGUUUGCACUGUUGUAACUAUAUUUUGUAACUAUGUGGUUUUGUGCAGGUUUUGUAGCUUUAGUUUUUGGUCUUGUUUUGUCUGGGGAGCUCCUUUCCGGGGAACGCGCUAGAUGGUAGCGCAAUAUUAACACGCAGCAGCCUCUCCGGACACUGGAUUGGGGAUUGCUAAACGUUAUGUGGAUUUUCUGGUGUAGUCUGUUUUGUCAUAUGCUUUUGUGAUAUCAUUCUGGAGGAACGUUGUCUCAUUUUUUAACUGCAUUGCAUUUGUGGUUUCUAAAUGACAAUAAACUUAGUCUGAAUCUGAACUGUAGCAUGCCCUUUGGCCUUGGGGCAUCCACCACUGCUUGAAUAUUCUGAGCACACUUGUGUAAUUCUUGUGAGUCAAUAGUGUGACCACAGUUAGUGAUGCUUGUUUUAAAGAAUUCACAUGAGUUGUGUAGUGCUCUGAGCCAAUAAACUUCUCGUCUUUUUAACACUGUCUUAAGAUUUUGGAGAUGUUCCUUGUCAUCCUUGCUGGUAACAAUGAUGUCAUCCAGAUAAUACUGAGUGCCUGAGCAGCCUUGCAGCAACAGGCACAUAGCUUUCCACCAUUUGCAAAUGCUUAUGCUACUCCAAAAAAAAACUAUUAUAGUGAUAAAGCUGUCGUGAGUGUUUAUGGUGAGAAACACUUUGGACUUUUCUUCUAUCUCCAUCUGUAGGUAGGCUUCAGUUAAGUCCACUUUGUUGAAAUAUUUUCCUCCAGAAAUGUUUACAAAGAUAUUCUCUAUUGAUCUGCUUUCAGUACUGGGUUGAUAGUGUCCUUUAAAUCACCACAGAUUUUGACAGACCCAUUCUUCUGGACCACUGGGACCACUGGUGUUGCCCAUGGGCUCCACUCAACCUUGGAAAGAAUUCCUUCAGCCUCCAUGCAAUCUAGCUCACUGGCUAAUUUAUCAGAGAUGGUAUAUGGAACAGGACAGGCUUUGUAAAACUUGUAUAUGGCAUUUUCAUUUAACAUUAUUUUACCCUUGAAACGUUUGUGUUUUCCAUUGCCAUCCUUGAACACUGCUGUGGCCUUAGCCUCAUUCAGUCCCUUUCUUAAUUAGCUUUCAGUUGACUCCAUUGCAGGGAAUGCGGCAUGCAAAUGGUGGAUGGAUCUCCAAUCAAGUGUAGUUGCCUCAGUCACUAAUGUUCCCACAACACGGUCCCUCCUGUUUUUACCCCAAAAAAAUCCCAAUGUGGC